RNAcentral lists this ribosomal RNA (451 nucleotides) under uncultured bacterium. RNAcentral describes it as "partial 16S ribosomal RNA". It matches the Rfam family "Bacterial small subunit ribosomal RNA", at positions 28 to 523 of the family's 1533-position model. The record is from RNAcentral.
GAUUAACGCUGGCGGUAUGCCUAACACAUGCAAGUCGAGCGGACCUUCGGGUUAGCGGCGAACGGGUGAGUAAUACAUUGGUACUUGCCUCAGAGUAGGACAUAGCCUGCCGAAAGGUGGGGUAAUUUCCUAUAGUCUUAGUAAUAAGUAAAGCAGCAAUGCGCUCUGAGAGAGACCUUUGUCCUAUCAGCUAGUUGGUGAGGUAAAGGCCCACCAAGGCGACGACGGGUAGCUGGAUCGAGAGGUUGACCAGCCACACUGGGACUGAGACACGGCCCAGACUCCUACGGGAGGAAGCAGUGAGGAAUUUUCCACAAUGGGCGAAAGCCUGAUGGAGCAAUACCGCGUGAAGGAUGACGGCCUUCGGGUUGUAAAGUUCUUUUACCCGGGAUGAUAAUGACAGUACCGGGAGAAUAAGCUCCGGCUAACUCCGUGCCAGCAGCCGCCGCCG